Molecule: ribosomal RNA, 251 nt
Filed under: uncultured bacterium
Lineage: Bacteria
Description: partial 16S ribosomal RNA
Rfam family: Bacterial small subunit ribosomal RNA
Source: RNAcentral
AGUCGAACGAGGUUUUUACCUAGUGGCAAACGGGUGAGUAAUAUACAAGAAUCUGCCUAAUAGUGGGGGAUAACCAAUAGAAAUGUUGGCUAAUACCGCAUAUGUCCGAAGGGACAAAGGCUUAGGUCGCUAUUAGAUGAUUUUGUACACGAUUAGCUAGUUGGGGAGGUAACUGCUCACCAAGGCAAUGAUCGUUAGCCGGUCUGAGAGGACGAUCGGCCACACUGGGACUGAGACACGGCCCAGACUCC